GAUGAACGCUGGCGGCGUGCUUAACACAUGCAAGUCGAACGGUGAAGGCGGAGCUUGCUCUGCUGGAUCAGUGGCGAACGGGUGAGUAACACGUGAGCAAUCUGCCCCUGACUCUGGGAUAAGCGCUGGAAACGGCGUCUAAUACUGGAUACGAGCUGCGAAGGCAUCUUCAGCAGCUGGGAAGAAUUUCGGUCAGGGAUGAGCUCGCGGCCUAUCAGCUUGUUGGUGAGGUAAUGGCUCACCAAGGCGUCGACGGGUAGCCGGCCUGAGGGUGACCGGCCACACUGGGACUGAGACACGGCCCAGACUCCUACGGGAGGCAGCAGUGGGGAAUAUUGCACAAUGGGCGAAAGCCUGAUGCAGCAACGCCGCGUGAGGGACGACGGCCUUCGGGUUGUAAACCUCUUUUAGCAGGGAAGAAGCGAAAGUGACGGUACCUGCAGAAAAAGCGCCGGCUAACUACGUG
RNAcentral lists this ribosomal RNA (466 nucleotides) under uncultured bacterium. Its description in RNAcentral is "partial 16S ribosomal RNA". It matches the Rfam family "Bacterial small subunit ribosomal RNA", at positions 28 to 507 of the family's 1533-position model. The record is from RNAcentral.